RNAcentral lists this transfer RNA (72 nucleotides) under Ictidomys tridecemlineatus (thirteen-lined ground squirrel). Its description in RNAcentral is "Spermophilus tridecemlineatus (thirteen-lined ground squirrel) tRNA". It matches the Rfam family "tRNA". Rfam says of the family: Transfer RNA (tRNA) molecules are approximately 80 nucleotides in length. Lineage: Eukaryota; Metazoa; Chordata; Mammalia; Rodentia; Sciuridae. The record is from Rfam by way of RNAcentral.
GGGGAUAUAAUUCAGUGGUAAAGCACUUGCCUAGCAUGCAUGAAGCCCUGGGUUCAAUCCCCAGUACUACCA